UAGGGAAUCUUCGGCAAUGGGGGGAACCCUGACCGAGCAACGCCGCGUGAGUGAAGAAGGUUUUCGGAUCGUAAAGCUCUGUUGUUAAGGAAGAACGAGUGUGAGAAUGGAAAGUUCAUACUGUGACGGUACUUAACCAGAAAGGGACGGCUAACUACGUGCCAGCAGCCGCGGUAAUACGUAGGUCCCGAGCGUUGUCCGGAUUUAUUGGGCGUAAAGCGAGCGCAGGCGGUUAGAUAAGUCUGAAGUUAAAGGCAGUGGCUCAACCAUUGUAGGCUUUGGAAACUGUUUAACUGGAGUGCAGAAGGGGAGAGUGGAAUUCCAUGUGUAGCGGUGAAGUGCGUAGAUAUAUGGAGGAACACCGGUGGCGAAAGCGGCUCUGUGGUCUGUAACUGACGCUGAGGCUCGAAAGCGUGGGGAGCGAACAGG
RNAcentral lists this ribosomal RNA (429 nucleotides) under Bacteroidota bacterium. RNAcentral describes it as "Bacteroidetes bacterium partial 16S ribosomal RNA". It matches the Rfam family "Bacterial small subunit ribosomal RNA", at positions 355 to 776 of the family's 1533-position model. The record is from RNAcentral. Lineage: Bacteria; Pseudomonadati; Bacteroidota.